RNAcentral lists this ribosomal RNA (468 nucleotides) under Acephala sp. JPS03. RNAcentral's name for it is "eukaryotic LSU rRNA". The stretch from base 122 to 275 matches the Rfam family "5.8S ribosomal RNA". Lineage: Eukaryota; Fungi; Ascomycota; Leotiomycetes; Helotiales; Mollisiaceae. The record is from RNAcentral.
GUCUAUAUACUCUUGUUGCUUUGGCAGGCCGUGGCCUUCCACCGUGGGCUCUGCCUGCGCGUGCCUGCCAGAGGACCAAACUCUGAAUUUUAGUGAUGUCUGAGUACUAUAUAAUAGUUAAAACUUUCAACAACGGAUCUCUUGGUUCUGGCAUCGAUGAAGAACGCAGCGAAAUGCGAUAAGUAAUGUGAAUUGCAGAAUUCAGUGAAUCAUCGAAUCUUUGAACGCACAUUGCGCCCGGUGGCAUUCCGCCGGGCAUGCCUGUUCGAGCGUCAUUAUAACCACUCAAGCCUGGCUUGGUGUUGGGGUUCGCGGUACCCGCGGCUCCUAAAACCAGUGGCGGUGCCGGUGGGCUCUAAGCGUAGUAAAUCUCCUCGCUAUAGGGUUCCCCCGGUGGCUUGCCAAAACCCCCAAUUUUUACAGGUUGACCUCGGAUCAGGUAGGGAUACCCGCUGAACUUAAGCAUAC